Molecule: ribosomal RNA, 255 nt
Filed under: Streptomyces edwardsiae
Lineage: Bacteria; Bacillati; Actinomycetota; Actinomycetes; Kitasatosporales; Streptomycetaceae
Description: Streptomyces sp. DSM 41636 partial 16S ribosomal RNA
Rfam family: Bacterial small subunit ribosomal RNA
Source: RNAcentral
AGGCGGAUCUCUGGGCCGAUACUGACGCUGAGGAGCGAAAGCGUGGGGAGCGAACAGGAUUAGAUACCCUGGUAGUCCACGCCGUAAACGGUGGGCACUAGGUGUGGGCGACAUUCCACGUCGUCCGCGCCGCAGCUAACGCAUUAAGUGCCCCGCCUGGGGAGUACGGCCGCAAGGCUAAAACUCAAAGGAAUUGACGGGGGCCCGCACAAGCGGCGGAGCAUGUGGCUUAAUUCGACGCAACGCGAAGAACCU